ACAGAUAUGACCGAGUGGUGAAGGUGCUGAACUGUUAAGCAGAGGGUCGAGGGUUCGGAUCCCGUCAUGUGUA
Molecule: non-coding RNA, 73 nt
Organism: Ancylostoma ceylanicum
Lineage: Eukaryota; Metazoa; Nematoda; Chromadorea; Rhabditida; Ancylostomatidae
Source: Rfam